AUGGCCCCUACUCACGUGGCAACUAUCGUGGCUACUAGUCCACGAGGCUCAGCCUCUGGAGUGGGUCAAGGAUCCGCUCCAGCUGAUCUCUAACCCACUGGGGCUGACUGAGCCCUGCUCUUGGCACUCCUCCAAUCUCCCAUGGGAAUCUCCCCAUAUGCUUACUUUCCCAGCAGGCCCCGGUGGCUUUGAUUAGCUGGGGUCCUCUGCUUCUUCCCAGAGGUCAGCCCUGCCCCAGGAAUCGACUGAGAAUUUGGUUCCAUUCCUGGACACGGAUUCAGCUAGAGAGCUGUCCCCAGGGCCAGAACCUUCUUGUCUGGACACCCAGAUCUGAAUGACAAGCUGACUCAGCAAGAAAGGCUCCCAGAGGUGGGUCCAAUGCUGGACUGGGAUCAGAACCAGACCCUAGUUCAGCCUCCUCGCCUCAAAAGUAAGGUUCAAACUACAGAUGUAGAUCAGGCUGCAGAUCAUCAGGCAGAUGAAAUACUUAUUCCACCUCUAGACAGUAAGGAUUUAAAAGCAACGGAGUUUAUAGUUUCUCCCAAGGACCUGAAGAAAGAUCCAGCUCAGCAUUGGAGGCUUGCUAAGGUUGUGGGAACUCCACGUAGAUUUGUAUCAAAACCUCAGCAUCAGAAACAAACUUUGCAGGAUGAGUAUUUAAAGUAUGGAUAUGCUGUAUCCCAGCAGCCUGCUGCCAGAACUUCGGGUGAACUCAGAUGAGCCUCCAGGGCCCCCUGAGCAAGUUGGACUUUCUCAAUUCCAUCUAGAGCCUGAAACUCAAAAUCCAGAGACCCCUGAAGAGCUCCAGUCCUCUUCCCUCCACUAAGAAGCCCCAGCAUGGCUUCCACAGCUCCCUGAGGAAGUAGAACCUUCUUCAACACAGCAGGAGGCCCCAGCUGAGCCUCCAGAGUCCUCUAUGGAAAGUCUAGCUCAAACUCCACCGAAUCAUGAGGUGACAGUUCAACCUCCAGGUAAGGAUCAAGCUCAUUAUAACUUGCCCAACAUUACAGUUAAACCUGCAGAUAUGGAGAUUGCCAUAACUUCAGAGCCUACCAAGGAGACAGAAUCUUCCCAAGCCCAGCAGGAGGCCCCUACUCAGCCUCCAAAGGAGGUAGAACCUUCUACAACCCAACAGGAGGCCACAAAGGAGCCUCCAGCUCAUUAUGAGGUGACAGUUCCAACACCAGGUCAAGAUCAAGCUCACCACUCAAUAUUGCUUAGUGUCACAGUUCAACCUUUAGACCUGGAGCUUACCAUCACCCCAGAAUCCACAACAGAAGUUGAACUUUCUCCAACCUUGCAGGAGACCCCAACUCAGCCUCCUAAGAAAGUUGUACCCCAACUUCCAGUGCUUACCAUAACUCCAGAACCCACUACAGAGACUGGACAUUCUACAGCCCUGGAGAAGACUACAGCUCCUCGUCCAGACGACGUUCAGACUCAGCAUCAAAACCUGACUGAAGUCACAGGUCCACCUACUGAUCUAGAACCUACUCAGGAUUCACUGGUGCAGUCUGAAAGUUACACCCAAAAUAAGGCUUUAACUGCAUCAGAGGAACAGGCCUCUGCAGGCACCAACAUGUGUGACCUCUGUACCUGCAGAGAUGAGACGCUGUCGUGUAUUGAUCUCAGCCCAAAGCAGAGGCUCCGCCACGUGCCUGUGCCAGAGCCGAACACCUACAACGGCACCUCCACUAAUGGAAAUUUCCAAGGAAACUGUAUUUCUUAUAUUGAUGGAAAUGUAUGGAAAGCAUACAGUUGGACUGAGAAACUAAUUCUCAAUGAAAAUUAUUUGACUGAAUUACAUAAGGAUUCAUUUGAAGGCCUGCUAUCCCUCCAGUAUUUAGAUUUAUCCUUCAAUAAAAUACAGUCUAUUGAAAGACACACAUUUGAACCACUACCAUUUUUACAGUUUCCAAAUCUUGGUUGCAGUUUACUCACAGAACUGAGCUUUGGAACAUUUCAGGCCUGGCACAGAAUGCAUUUUUUACACAAAAUUCUCAAUCGCAAUCCUCUGACAGCUGUUGAAGAUCCUUAUUUGUUUAAAUUGUCAGCAUUAAAAUAUCUAGACAUGGGAACAACACAGGUCUCACAACAGUUAAGAACAUCCUUACAAUGAUCUUGAAUUGAAAAAACUGAUCUUACCUAGCCAUAUGGCCUGCUGCCUCUGCCAAUUUAAAAAUAGCAUUGAGGUUGUCUGCAAGACAGUCAAACUUCAUUGCAACAGUGCAUGUCUGACAAACACCACGUUGUCUUGAAGAAGUAUCUAUAGGGAAUCCCAAAGGAGCGUUCAUGAAGGUGUUACAAGCCCGGAAGAAGCACACGAGCACUGAGCUGACUAUUGAGCCGGAGACGCCCUCAGACAGCAACGGGCUCAACUUGUCAGGCUUUGGGUGUGAUCAGAUUGAAAUUCAGCUAAACCAGCAGCUAUGGUCCCUCAUCCUCAUUUGUCAUGUUUUCCGGAGCUUGAAAGUUUACUGCUCUGAGACCCGUGUGCAAUUAGCCUGUGCUAAGCUCAUCUCUAGGACAGGCCUCCCGAUGAAGCUUCUCAGUGAACAGCAAGAAGUAAAGGUGUCAAAGGCAGAAUGGGAUACGGACCAGUGGAAAACUGAGAACUGUUAUAAAUGAGAGCACGGAAGCCCAGAGUGAACAGAAAGAACAGAAGUCAAGUGAGAUGACCACACAGAAAGAAGUUCCAGGAUAUGCCUAUAACAACAAACUCAUCUUGGCAAUAUCUGUGACUGUAAUAGUGAUGAUUUUAAUUAUAAUUUUCUGUCUCAUUGAGAUUUAUUGUCAUAGAAGGGCACCAAAGGAAGAUGAAGGAUUCUCAAGGGGCGUUUCCAGACGUCUGCCACACAGGACAUGCUCAUCGAAAAGUGCGACUCAGGGUGGCUUUUUCUCAUUAAGAUGGCUGCUCUGGCUUAGGGAUAUGUACAGACCUGUCAGUGCCACACGCGUAAAAAACAUGACACAAAAGCUGCCUGACAAGGAGUCUUCCAGUGAGGACGAGAUCUUCAACAGGGACGCUGCGUAAAUGAUGGUCCCUCACAGUUCCCAUCUAAAAUGAGGAGGGGGUGAGAAGCUUAAUUCCUCCUUUCAACAAUCAAAACUUUGCCAAUCAAAACCUUGUUAUUCUUAUCCCAGGGACAGCGAAGCCCCAACAGAGAAGACUCCAACUGGAGAGUCUGCUCCUGAGGGGAAGGAGAGUGAGGCCCUGCAGUAGGAGAACACUGAGUGACCCCAGCCCACCUCAGGCCUCCUGCAAAAGACUUAUUUUUCUCAUAUCAAAUAAUAUAAUUCUAGCUAUGCAGUAUGACAUUUAAAUAUGUAGUUAAAUAUUUGUGCAUAAAUAACAAGGAUCAUCAGAAAGAAAAACAGGACUGAAGCCAGUGGCCCACAAAUCCACCAGAGGCAGCAGGCAGGGGAAGCACAGCCACCAGAGGCAGCGGGCAGGGGAAACACAGCCACCAGAGGCGGCGGCCAGGGGAAGCACAUCCACCAGAGGCAGCGGGCAGGGGAAGCACAGCCACCAGAGGCAGCGGGCAGGGGAAGCACAGGGCCAUCUUGCCCUCCCUGGUUUCCCAAUCUAAUUAGUCACCCAGACCUGAAAACAUACCCUCAGGGGUGGAGGUUUUACAAUUAAAUACCAUUGUUCUUGGUGCCCUCGCCCCUGGUUCCAUCAAGCACCAGUCAUACAAUACAACACACUUGACCUCCUGCCCACAGGGGACCUCCCACCUCUGAUCCCUGCUAGGGACCAGUUUCAGGGCCUCACAGAUCAAGUGUGAGGUGUUAAAUGUAGAAACAUUAACUCUUAGUCUAAUGGGGGAACAGACAUGUAAACAGACAAAGCAGGUACAGGCAUUCCAGACACAACAUUGUGUGCAAGGGCGUGGUGGGGUGAAAUAGAUGGAGGGGGCAGGUAGCACAAGACUUUGGCGCUGUGAGAGUCCCACGUGCAUCUGGGAGAAUUAUGGCAGAGGAGGCUUUAAGUAGUCGGGAGAAUCUUGGAUACCUUGCACACUGUCUGGACUCCUAGAGAUGGGGGUAUACUGAAGAGUUUCAGGAACGGAAGAGGUCACAUUUGCAUUUUGAAUUGCACAUUUCAUCAGUUUUGAGGAGCAUGAUGCUGGGAGCCUGAGAUACUAAUUACAGACUGAUCAUAAGAGACCAGGCAGGAAAUGAGAUGUGGCAGUGCGGAUGAUAGAGAGAGGAAGCAAAGAGAUCAACCAACCUCUGACCUAGGUGCCGUAAUGCCAUUAACCAGGCUAGGAAAUGCAGGGAAAGGGCAGAUAAUGAGCUUAGUCAAGCAAGCCUGGUCCAAUGGCACAUCCAAGAGAAAGUGUCCAGAAGGCAGGCGAAUAAACUAACUCGGUGCUCAGGUGGGAACUCGGCUAGAUUUAGAUCUGGCACCUUUAGCCUGUGGCAGAUUGUAUGAGCGUGGCUAAGAUCAUCUAGGGAAGAUGGAUUGGGUGGGAAGGCCAAAGCUUUGGGGAAUGUCAGUAUUUAAUAAAGGUCAUGGGGCCAAUGAGGAGGGAGACUGAGAAGGGGUGUUUAGGCCAGCAGAGAUUCUAGCUGACAUGAAGAUGUCUCAAGGUUUGUUUCUUCUGGGCCUGGAAGCCUCAGGCCAGAAGAAUUUUGUUUUGACCUU
This is a non-coding RNA of Saimiri boliviensis boliviensis (Bolivian squirrel monkey), 4651 nucleotides long. Lineage: Eukaryota; Metazoa; Chordata; Mammalia; Primates; Cebidae. The record is from RefSeq and is a predicted model, not a curated record.